RNAcentral lists this ribosomal RNA (254 nucleotides) under uncultured bacterium. RNAcentral's name for it is "partial 16S ribosomal RNA". It matches the Rfam family "Bacterial small subunit ribosomal RNA", at positions 524 to 776 of the family's 1533-position model. The record is from RNAcentral.
UACGUAGGGGGCGAGCGUUGUCCGGAUUUAUUGGGCGUAAAGAGCUCGUAGGCGGCUUGGCAAGUCGGGUGUGAAACCUCCAGGCUCAACCUGGAGACGCCACUCGAUACUGCUAUGGCUAGAGUCCGGUAGGGGACCACGGAAUUCCUGGUGUAGCGGUGAAAUGCGCAGAUAUCAGGAGGAACACCCGUGGCGAAGGCGAGUCUCUGGGCUGAUACUGACGCUGAGGCGCGAAAGCCAGGGGAGCAAACGGG